AGUGAACGCUGGCGGUAGGCCUAACACAUGCAAGUCGAACGGCAGCACAGUAAGAGCUUGCUCUUACGGGUGGCGAGUGGCGGACGGGUGAGGAAUACAUCGCAAUCUACUUUUUCGUGGGGGAUAACGUAGGGAAACUUACGCUACUACCGCAUACGACCUACGGGUGAAAGCAGGGGAUCUUCGGACCUUGCGCGAUUGAAUGAGCCGAUGUCGGAUUAGCUAGUUGGCGGGGUAAAGGCCCACCAAGGCGACGAUCCGUAGCUGGUCUGAGAGGAUGAUCAGCCACACUGGAACUGAGACACGGUCCAGACUCCUACGGGAGGCAGCAGUAGGGAAUAUUGGGCAAUGGGCGCAAGCCUGAUCCAGCCAUACCGCGUGAGUGAAGAAGGCCUUCGGAUUGUAAAGCCCUUUUGUUAGGAAAGAAAAGCAGCAGGUGAAUACCCCGCUGUUCUGACGGUACCCAAAGAAUAAGCACCGGCUAACUUCGUG
RNAcentral lists this ribosomal RNA (492 nucleotides) under uncultured bacterium. RNAcentral describes it as "partial 16S ribosomal RNA". It matches the Rfam family "Bacterial small subunit ribosomal RNA", at positions 29 to 507 of the family's 1533-position model. The record is from RNAcentral.